Brassica napus (rape) is the source of this 2462-nucleotide long non-coding RNA. RefSeq lists it as uncharacterized. The transcript has 5 exons. NCBI's taxonomy places the organism in Eukaryota, Viridiplantae, Streptophyta, Magnoliopsida, Brassicales, Brassicaceae. The record is from RefSeq and is a predicted model, not a curated record.
CUUUUGUGUGGAAAAUCUUGAUUGUUAAGUGAUUGGUGAUUCAAUUUUCUUUUCAAUUUGAAGUAUGUGAUUGAUCAUAAUUUUUUGUUUGUUUCAAGCUAACUAAUCAUUUGCCUUUUUUAUAUCUUAAUCACAUUUGCUAUUUUAGGUAUUCAUUUCUCCAUUUAACUUCUUGUAGUUAAUUAGGACUUAUGCAUAUGUUGUUUUUGCCUUUCGAAUGUUUCUUACUUUCUUUAUUUAUCUAAUUUUUUUUGUUAGUAAGGUCUUAAAUUAAACAAACCAAAAUUAGUAAGGGAAGCAAUAGAGAACAAUAGUUAUGUUUUCUGAUGAAUUUACACAUUCAUUUACACCGUUCAGAUGCGCUUUCACUUUGACUCAUUUUUAAAAUGGGAUGUUACUCUAGACAGCGUGGCUAUUCAUCCAAAGGUAAAUGUCAGUGAAUAUAAAACAUAGUUAUAUUUUAAAGUUGAAUAAAAGUGAUUAAGUUACGAAUUCUGUUCAAACUUUUGAGUCUUGAAUGAAGAUUCCACCAGUUUCUUUUUAAUGGUUAAGUUUAAACUUCUGAAAUAUUUUUAAAAACUAACUAGUAAAAUAAAAACAAAGACCAAAUGCAUGUUUAUCCUUGAAUCAGUCAAUUCUUGUUUAUCUUUUUACGUUUCGAUUGAUCUUUAAUUAUUCCUUAAAGCUUAUUUGGAUACCACAUGGUAAGGAUGAUCAUCCAUAAAUUCUAAGUUAUCCUUUCAGUUUUAAAAUGAUUGUGUAGAACUUAAAGAAUCUGUUCUAUUCCUAUUGGAUUUGCUCCGUUUUAAAAGCAAACUUGGACUUUGUCGUUUCUAGUAUUGAUUAAAAGAUAGCAUUAUCUACCCUAUACUAAAAGCAGGAUAUGGAGUGUUUUUAACAUGUCCACGUCGACAGAUUUAAUUGUCCAAUCAAAAUAUUUGAAUAAUACACGUAGGAUGUGCUCUGUAAAAUGUUGAUUUCAUAUGGGCUAUGAUCUGUUCGGAUGGGCUUCAUCUAGCAAUGGGCUAAGCUAUCUGGUUCAAUUAAAAAAAAAAAUCCCAAUACGGACAACACGAUGAACAACGCUACUCUCCUCUAUCUCUUCGUCUUCACGAGUUCUUCUCUAUCGUUUCACUUCUCUCUGUUUUCAUCUCCACAAUCAAUACUCCAUUACUUCUCGAUCCAUCAAUCUCUUCUUUAUGAUUUCGAUUCCGUUUACUCUUUCCCUGCUACCUUAUAUACUGAUUUACUCUCCAGAUUGCAAACCAAACCCUAAAAUUCUCUAACCUCAAUUCGCGAUGAAACCACAUGGAAAAUCCCCUAUCACCUCCGAUUAUGAUGAAAAGGUGAUGUUCUUCCGCGAUGUCUCACCGGGUCCUCAUGAAACCCAGCUGCGUUUCCGCUUGAUUCAUCUCUGGGAGGCUUGGAACCCUGUCAAGAAAAUGCUUAUUGGCCUUGAGAUGCUUCUAAUCGACGAACAGUUAAUCACAUGUAAGACACAAAGUAAAGGUCCGCAGAAAAAUACGAUAUCCUGAACUUCAGAAAUAGUACGAAAAGGUUCACAACUACUCAUCAGAAAUCCAGGUUAGACCGCAUCUCCUUCUCUGUUUGCAAUGUAACCUCUCAUAUUAUAUUUUUGGUUUUGAUUUCAUGUCAAAUAUACAUUUCUGAGUUUUGAAGGAAAUUGGUAAAUAUGAUUAGGAGAGUAAAGUAUUUCGAGAUCCAACCAGAGAGCCACGGACCGUUUUCUAUGGUGUGGCUCUGCCGAUGGAAAUCUUGUGGUCAUUUUCCCAUGUGUAAGCUUUCAUGUAUUUGGUGAAAAUAUGCGCUUUGGUGGACUCUUUUGCUGCAAAACGGCUAAUGGAGACGGUAACGGAACAAUGCACAUCAACAUACUCGAUAGUUAAAGUGAAAGAAUAAAUAAGAACGAGGACAUGCUAGGCGGAUCAAAAGCACCACCAAUGGCCAAGCAAAACGCUACGUCUGGUACUCUUGCAAGUAGGGAGUUCUAUAAAGAAUCUUCUCAGCCUUCCAACGUUUUGAAAAAGACAACAGUGGAUAUAUCACAAUGGAAGCGCUGGAGCAGUCCCUGAGGGACACUAAUGGUGGAAGAGACCUUAAUGAAAUUAUUUCUGAAGUUGAUGGAGAAAAAUAGUUUCAAAGAAGGGGAGCUUCGCCACUUCUUCCUCUUUGUGUCACAUCUAUAGAAACGUCUGUUUCGUUCCAUUUCAGGCUCCUCUGCGGCUUCUCGGUGGCAUUUCCAACUUCAUACAUUUUACACAUGGGAUGCUAACAAGUAACAACUUGCUAUCGUAAAUAAGGAUGAUAAAAGACAUAAACAUGGAGAAAAUACACUUUGUAUUAUGAGAGAACUGCAUCAGUUUAAAAUAUUGUAAUUGUCGAGUGGGAGAACGGAGUACUGAAUUAAUUUACACACUGUAUUAGCAGCCCUUGACCACUAA